GUCAGAGGAUGGAUGGUGAUGAAAAACAGAAGCAAAGGAGUCACUAGGUAACUUGACCUGCACCAUUUUGCAUAGUGUUUAUCCUGGACCUAAUACCUUAAUUCUUGAAGCCCAUGAUUUCUGCCUACUCCACCUAACCCCACAACAAGGCAACUUCCUGACGUAAGUUACUUAGUACAUACAUAGUAUUUAAUUGAAUUUCAUUUUGUUUUGAACCAUCUGCAGUAAUUCUUGUGAUAAAGCAGAUAUCCAGGGGAUUGGAAGUGCAGCAUUAAAAAUCAGUGUCCUAAACUGGAGAGAUAGCUUUAUAUAUUAAACUGGAUUAUGGGUGUCUCCUCCCAUUACUUCACCCACCCCAUCUGUCUCCAACAGAGCUGGAAGACUCAAGGAAUCCUCUCACAGUUCUGCCCAUCCUCGCCUGAACUUGUUCCAUAUGUCUUAUCAGUAAUCCAGUUCAUUCUUUACCCUUUAUUACAAUCUUCUAAGAACUACAAACAAGAAAAAUAAUUUAAAUCUUUCAAGAUUUGUAUACGAUAAUUUACCAAUAAACUAAACCAGCCUUACCUGGUCUUUUCCCCAGACUAGAUUCCUGUCUCACCGUGAGUAGGAUGUAGUAAUUACCCAACUCCUCCACAGCCACAGAACAGCUCUCUGCCCAGGACAGCUGAUCUGACAAUGGGUCAUAUUUGCUUAUAUUUGCACCUUAACCGCAUUUUCUCAGUCCUGGCCAAUCAGAGACAGGCUGAUCCUUGGCUGGACUUAUGAAGAGAAGGCUUUAUGUGCGCCUAUUCAAAGUAGCAAAAACCAGGAGACUUUUAAAGGCCUCUUUUCUCUUUUAACUCUGUUUCCACACCCUAUUCUAAUUGAUUUUUCUAAAGUGCACAGCCCAUCAAUAAUGCAGGAAGUAGGGUGGAGUGGAAGAGCAGAUAUGAAAUUAGCCAUAUUAUAGAUGGGGAUACAUUAAGCUGAUAGAUAUUGUAUGACAGAUAGAAGCCAAAACAAACAACAGACACAGUACCAGGAAAUCCUGGACUUGCUCUGCUGAGAAUAGGACACUGGGAAGCUGGAGUCAGAACAUAGCUAGCCCAGCUAUCUCAGGGGUAGAGCCCAAAGAUCUGAAAGGAAGAUGAUGUUACUGGGAAAGGGGGUUUUCUCCCCAAACCAGCCUCUCCUUCCUCAGGAUUAUCCCCACUCUCAGCAGAAUGACUCUUUUCAGGGGCGGUAAAGUGCUCGAAAUGGCCUGGUGGGGGAAAGAGGUGGGAAAAAUUCACAUAACUCUCAGGAAAAGCCCGGCAUUGAGCCCAAUGUAGGUUUUCUAGGCUGUAGUAGUCGGUUGGAAUCUUGCUGGCGAUGCAGAUCUAAAUGUGGCAUGUCUGGGGAAGGGUGCUUUUUGGGUGAUAUGUUCAUGGUGGCUUGAAUACACAACCACAGGGCUAUUCCUGGUUGGGUGUUUUUUUUUUUUUU
Long non-coding RNA from Antechinus flavipes (yellow-footed antechinus), 1464 nucleotides. RefSeq lists it as uncharacterized. NCBI's taxonomy places the organism in Eukaryota, Metazoa, Chordata, Mammalia, Dasyuromorphia, Dasyuridae. The record is from RefSeq and is a predicted model, not a curated record. The transcript has 2 exons.